UACAGAGGCCCCAAGCGUUAGGCGGAAUCACUGGGCUUAAAGGGCGCGUAGGCGGGCUGUCAAGUCUGGGGUGAAAUGCCGCGGCUCAACCGUGGAACUGCCUUAGAUACUGACGGCCUCGAGGAAGGUAGGGGCAUGCGGAACUGUAGGUGGAGCGGUGAAAUGCGUUGAUAUCUACAGGAACUCCGGUGGCGAAAGCGGCGUGCUGGACCUUUUCUGACGCUGAGGCGCGAAAGCUAGGGGAGCAAACGGG
This 253-nucleotide ribosomal RNA is filed under the name uncultured bacterium. RNAcentral's name for it is "partial 16S ribosomal RNA". It matches the Rfam family "Bacterial small subunit ribosomal RNA", at positions 524 to 776 of the family's 1533-position model. The record is from RNAcentral.